RNAcentral lists this transfer RNA (67 nucleotides) under marine eukaryotic metagenome. It matches the Rfam family "tRNA". From Rfam's summary of the family: Transfer RNA (tRNA) molecules are approximately 80 nucleotides in length. Their secondary structure includes four short double-helical elements and three loops (D, anti-codon, and T loops). The record is from RNAcentral.
CAGGUAGCUCAGUUGGUAGAGCAGUGGACUGAAAAUCCGCGUGUCGGUGGUUCAAAUCCGCCCCUGG